This 745-nucleotide ribosomal RNA is filed under the name uncultured bacterium. RNAcentral describes it as "bacterial SSU rRNA". It matches the Rfam family "Bacterial small subunit ribosomal RNA", at positions 33 to 773 of the family's 1533-position model. The record is from RNAcentral.
ACGCUGGCGGCAGGCCUAACACAUGCAAGUCGAGCGGUAGAGAGAAGCUUGCUUCUCUUGAGAGCGGCGGACGGGUGAGUAAUGCCUAGGAAUCUGCCUGGUAGUGGGGGAUAACGUUCGGAAACGGACGCUAAUACCGCAUACGUCCUACGGGAGAAAGCAGGGGACCUUCGGGCCUUGCGCUAUCAGAUGAGCCUAGGUCGGAUUAGCUAGUUGGUGGGGUAAUGGCUCACCAAGGCGACGAUCCGUAACUGGUCUGAGAGGAUGAUCAGUCACACUGGAACUGAGACACGGUCCAGACUCCUACGGGAGGCAGCAGUGGGGAAUAUUGGACAAUGGGCGAAAGCCUGAUCCAGCCAUGCCGCGUGUGUGAAGAAGGUCUUCGGAUUGUAAAGCACUUUAAGUUGGGAGGAAGGGCAGUAAAUUAAUACUUUGCUGUUUUGACGUUACCGACAGAAUAAGCACCGGCUAACUCUGUGCCAGCAGCCGCGGUAAUACAGAGGGUGCAAGCGUUAACCGGAAUUACUGGGCGUAAAGCGCGCGUAGGUGGUUCGUUAAGUUGGAUGUGAAAUCCCCGGGCUCAACCUGGGAACUGCAUUCAAAACUGACGAGCUAGAGUAUGGUAGAGGGUGGUGGAAUUUCCUGUGUAGCGGUGAAAUGCGUAGAUAUAGGAAGGAACACCAGUGGCGAGGGCGACCACCUGGACUGAUACUGACACUGAGGUGCGAAAGCGUGGGGAGCAAAC